AUGACUUUUACAUUAUGUGCAAACAACUUAUACGUUUUGUGCAAACCUCGUUUACCUUAUGUGCAAACAUCGUUCACCCUAUGUGCAAACAUCGUUUACCUUAUGUGCAAACACCUAUUGCGUUAUGUGCAAAUACCUAUUAAGUUAUGUAUAAAAACUACAUCAUUAUGUGCAAACAAUAUUACGUUAUGUGCAAAUACCGC
RNAcentral lists this long non-coding RNA (203 nucleotides) under Mytilus galloprovincialis (Mediterranean mussel). The record is from RNAcentral. Lineage: Eukaryota; Metazoa; Mollusca; Bivalvia; Mytilida; Mytilidae.